ACCUGCCUUCCAGUGAGGAAUACCGGCGAGAAAUCGCCGACAAUGCCGCAUAGGCUUGGUGCUCUCAGCAGCAUUAAGCAAAGCCUCGCAAGGGGCGCUGGAAGAGGGGCCCGUGGCCGAUUAGCUGGUUGGUGAGGUAAGGGCUCACCAAGGCGACGAUCGGUCGCUGGUCUGAGAGGACGAUCAGCCACACUGGGAUUGAGAACGGCCCAG
RNAcentral lists this ribosomal RNA (213 nucleotides) under uncultured bacterium. RNAcentral's name for it is "partial 16S ribosomal RNA". It matches the Rfam family "Bacterial small subunit ribosomal RNA", at positions 124 to 334 of the family's 1533-position model. The record is from RNAcentral.